RNAcentral lists this ribosomal RNA (292 nucleotides) under uncultured Acidobacteriota bacterium. RNAcentral describes it as "uncultured Acidobacteria bacterium partial 16S ribosomal RNA". Lineage: Bacteria; Pseudomonadati; Acidobacteriota. The record is from RNAcentral.
GGACUACCCGGGUUUCUAAUCCUGUUUGCUCCCCUAGCUUUCGUCUCUCAGCGUCAGUUGCGGUCCAGUGAGCCGCCUUCGCCUCUGGUGUUCCUGCAGAUAUCUACGCAUUUCACCGCUACACCUGCAAUUCCACUCACCUCUCCCGCACUCCAGCACGGCAGUUUCGAAAGCAGACUCAGAGUUAAGCCCUGAGAUUUCACUCCCGACUUGCCGCACCGCCUACAGACUCUUUACGCCCAGUAAUUCCGAGCAACGCUGGCCCCCUACGUCUUACCGCGGCGGCUGGCAC